CGGCGGACGGGUGAGUAACACGUGGGUAACCUACCUAUAAGACUGGGACAACUUCGGGAAACCGGAGCUAAUACCGGAUAAGAUAUCUAACCGCAUGGUUCGAUAGUGAAAGAUGGUUUUGCUAUCACUUAUAGAUGGACCCGCGCCGUAUUAGCUAGUUGGUGAGGUAACGGCUCACCAAGGCAACGAUACGUAGCCGACCUGAGAGGGUGAUCGGCCACACUGGAACUGAGACACGGUCCAGACUCCUACGGGAGGCAGCAGCG
Molecule: ribosomal RNA, 266 nt
Filed under: uncultured Staphylococcus sp.
Lineage: Bacteria; Bacillati; Bacillota; Bacilli; Caryophanales; Staphylococcaceae
Description: partial 16S ribosomal RNA
Rfam family: Bacterial small subunit ribosomal RNA
Source: RNAcentral